This 229-nucleotide ribosomal RNA is filed under the name uncultured bacterium. RNAcentral describes it as "partial 16S ribosomal RNA". It matches the Rfam family "Bacterial small subunit ribosomal RNA", at positions 568 to 796 of the family's 1533-position model. The record is from RNAcentral.
UGCGUAGGCGGGCUAAUAAGUCAGUGGUGAAAUCUCUCGGCUCAACCGGGAAACUGCCAUUGAUACUGUUAGUCUUGAGUUCGGUUGAGGUAGGCAGAAUGUGUAAUGUAGCGGUGAAAUGCUUAGAUAUUACACAGAACACCAAUUGCGUAGGCAGCUUACUAGACCGACACUGACGCUGAGGCACGAAAGCGUGGGGAGCGAACAGGAUUAGAUACCCUGGUAGUCC